Molecule: ribosomal RNA, 468 nt
Filed under: uncultured bacterium
Lineage: Bacteria
Description: partial 16S ribosomal RNA
Rfam family: Bacterial small subunit ribosomal RNA
Source: RNAcentral
GACGAACGCUGGCGGCGUGCUUAACACAUGCAAGUCGAACGGAAAGGCCCUGCUUUUGUGGGGUGCUCGAGUGGCGAACGGGUGAGUAACACGUGAGUAACCUGCCCUUGACUUUGGGAUAACUUCAGGAAACUGGGGCUACUACCGGAUAGGAGCUCCUGCUGCAUGGUGGGGGUUGGAAAGUUUCGGCGGUUGGGGAUGGACUCGCGGCUGAUCAGCUUGUUGGUGGGGGAGUGGCUUACCAAGGCUUUGACGGGUAGCCGGCCUGGGAGGGUGACCGGGCACAUUGGGACUGAGAUACGGCCCAGACUCCUACGGGAGGCAGCAGUGGGGAAUAUUGCACAAUGGGCGGAAGCCUGAUGCAGCAACGCCGCGUGCGGGAUGACGGCCUUCGGGUUGUAAACCGCUUUCGCCUGUGACGAAGCGUGAGUGACGGUAAUGGGUAAAGAAGCACCGGCUAACUACGUG